GGACUGAUUAGCACAUAGGAACAACAGAGAACCCAGGACACAGCACACUGGGAUUGUGAUCCUUAUAGUUGUUAUGGGACCACUUAUGUUGUUGGUAGCCUGCUGGAUGUCGACACGGUUGCCGCUGAGCCCAUGAGCAUUAUCUAAUGAUUGUAUAUACUGAGAACAAAUGAUUUCGUAUUGCCUUUCCUGAAAAAGAUCCUGUGGAAGGAUCGAAACGUCGAUUUUAUGA
Molecule: long non-coding RNA, 232 nt
Organism: Pseudophryne corroboree (corroboree frog)
Lineage: Eukaryota; Metazoa; Chordata; Amphibia; Anura; Myobatrachidae
Exons: 3
Source: RefSeq, a predicted model, not a curated record